UUCAAUUGCAAUGAUGAGAAAUAUUAUUCAAAAUUAUACAGUUAUCCCUGUCUUAAUACAUAAUGUCGAGUUUUUUUAAAUCUGAAAUUUUA
This is a small nucleolar RNA of 92 nucleotides. It matches the Rfam family "Small nucleolar RNA R38". From Rfam's summary of the family: snoR38 is a C/D box small nucleolar RNA conserved across yeast, human, Arabidopsis and rice.